GAUGAACGCUGGCGGCGUGCCUAAUACAUGCAAGUCGAGCGAACGGACGAGAAGCUUGCUUCUCUGAUGUUAGCGGCGGACGGGUGAGUAACACGUGGAUAACCUACCUAUAAGACUGGGAUAACUUCGGGAAACCGGGGCUAAUACCGGAUAAUAUUUUGAACCGCAUGGUUCAAAAGUGAAAGACGGUCUUGCUGUCACUUAUAGAUGGAUCCGCGCUGCAUUAGCUAGUUGGUGAGGUAACGGCUUACCAAGGCAACGAUGCAUAGCCGACCUGAGAGGGUGAUCGGCCACACUGGAACUGAGACACGGUCCAGACUCCUACGGGAGGCAGCAGUAGGGAAUCUUCCGCAAAGGGCGAAAGCCUGACGGAGCAACGCCGCGUGAGUGAUGAAGGUCUUCGGAUCGUAAAACUCUGUUAUUAGGGAAGAACAUAUGUGUAAGUAACUGUGCACAUCUUGACGGUACCUAAUCAGAAAGCCACGGCUAACUACGUG
Molecule: ribosomal RNA, 497 nt
Filed under: uncultured bacterium
Lineage: Bacteria
Description: partial 16S ribosomal RNA
Rfam family: Bacterial small subunit ribosomal RNA
Source: RNAcentral